GUGAACGCUGGCGGUAGGCCUAACACAUGCAAGUCGAACGGCAGCACAGUAAGAUCUUGCUCUUACGGGUGGCGAGUGGCGGACGGGUGAGGAAUACAUCGGAAUCUACUUUUUCGUGGGGGAUAACGUAGGGAAACUUACGCUAAUACCGCAUACGACCUACGGGUGAAAGCAGGGGAUCUUCGGACCUUGCGCGAUUGAAUGAGCCGAUGUCGGAUUAGCUAGUUGGCGAGGUAAAGGCCCACCAAGGCGACGAUCCGUAGCUGGUCUGAGAGGAUGAUCAGCCACACUGGAACUGAGACACGGUCCAGACUCCUACGGGAGGCAGCAGUGGGGAAUAUUGGACAAUGGGCGCAAGCCUGAUCCAGCCAUACCGCGUGAGUGAAGAAGGCCUUCGGGUUGUAAAGCCCUUUUGUUGGGAAAGAAAAGCAGCAGGUUAAUACCCCGCUGUUCUGACGGUACCCAAAGAAUAAGCACCGGCUAACUUCGUG
RNAcentral lists this ribosomal RNA (491 nucleotides) under uncultured bacterium. RNAcentral describes it as "partial 16S ribosomal RNA". It matches the Rfam family "Bacterial small subunit ribosomal RNA", at positions 29 to 507 of the family's 1533-position model. The record is from RNAcentral.